RNAcentral lists this ribosomal RNA (719 nucleotides) under bacterium enrichment culture. Its description in RNAcentral is "bacterial SSU rRNA". It matches the Rfam family "Bacterial small subunit ribosomal RNA", at positions 71 to 803 of the family's 1533-position model. The record is from RNAcentral.
GAUUGAAGCUUGCUUUGAACUGUUUUAGUGGCGGACGGGUGAGUAACGCGUGAGGAACCUGCCUUUCAGAGGGGGAUAACGUCUGGAAACGGACGCUAAUACCGCAUGACAUUUUGUUGCCGCAUGGUGAUAAAAUCAAAGGAGCAAUCCGCUGAGAGAUGGACUCGCGUCCGAUUAGCCGGUUGGCGGGGUAACGGCCCACCAAAGCAACGAUCGGUAGCCGGGCUGAGAGGCUGAACGGCCACAUUGGGACUGAGACACGGCCCAGACUCCUACGGGAGGCAGCAGUGGGGGAUAUUGCACAAUGGAGGAAACUCUGAUGCAGCAACGCCGCGUGAGGGAAGAAGGUUUUCGGAUUGUAAACCUCUGUCCUCAGGGACGAUAAUGACGGUACCUGAGGAGGAAGCUCCGGCUAACUACGUGCCAGCAGCCGCGGUAAUACGUAGGGAGCAAGCGUUGUCCGGAUUUACUGGGUGUAAAGGGUGCGUAGGCGGCACUGCAAGUCAGGUGUGAAAACCAUGGGCUUAACUUAUGGAUUGCACUUGAAACUGUGGUGCUUGAGUGAAGUAGAGGCAGGCGGAAUUCCCGGUGUAGCGGUGAAAUGCGUAGAGAUCGGGAGGAACACCAGUGGCGAAGGCGGCCUGCUGGGCUUUAACUGACGCUGAGGCACGAAAGCAUGGGUAGCAAACAGGAUUAGAUACCCUGGUAGUCCAUGCCGU